Long non-coding RNA from Harmonia axyridis, 2866 nucleotides. RefSeq lists it as uncharacterized. Lineage: Eukaryota; Metazoa; Arthropoda; Insecta; Coleoptera; Coccinellidae. The record is from RefSeq and is a predicted model, not a curated record. The transcript has 2 exons.
UUCUUUGAAUUUUCAUUAAAUCCAUAUCCGUAUAUAAUUUCUGAAAUAUUUACAUUAUUCUGAAAAUAAGAAUAUGGGUACUAUUAUUCGAUUCAAUGGCGUACCCAGACAUGAGGCCUGGGGGGAUAAAGAAAAAAUUUUGGUUAUUCGUUUCUGUUGUCCUUUGAAUUUACAGACACUUCUUGAAAUUGAUUUUCAUCUAUCGAAGGGUCAGCUGUUGUACUUAAACGCGAAAAACUAAGGUUCGCCUGCAUCAAUUUUCCUUCUUUUGAAGAAGUUUUCCAAAGAAGUUUGUUUACUCAUAAAAAGAUCGUGAUAGAUAAAGGUAGGUUGAGACUUAUGAUGGAUAGAUAGAUAUAUAUAUAUAGAUAGAUAGAUAUAUAGAUAUAUUCAUCUCAAGUAUUUACAGAUGCUGUCAAAAUAUAUGUAUAUAAUAAAUAUAAGUACAUGUUCACACGUUACAAAUUUCACAGUAGGAUAUAAUCAACGACAAAAUAAACAAUUUUUCGUGAGAAUGACUAGAUUUAUGGGACUGAAACUCAUCCAUCGAGUAGAAUACAUUUUUUUAAACAAGCUCUUUAUUUUUUCUUGAAGGCAUUUUAAUGUAGUGAUGUCAGGCUAUCCGGUAGUUUGUUAUAGAGUUUUAGGCUGUUAUAUAUGUGCAUGUUUCUCGUUUUCUCCAGUCUAUGUAAAGAAGGUACAUAUUUGUCCUUGAAUCGCGUGUUGUGACCGUGAACGUUCAAGUGUUUCUGGAACCUGUUUCCGCUCCCAUGCACAUAUAAGAGGCACUUCAUGAUGUAACAGCAUGAAACAGUAAGUAUACCAUAUUUUUUGAAAAAUGGUCUACAGCUUGUCAUCCGACCUUCCCCUGCUACUAUUCUCAUAGCAUUUUUCUGUUUCAGGAAUAUCCUUCCCGCUUCCGAGGACGCCCCCCAAACAAUGAUGCCAUAGGUCAUCCGUCCGUGGAAUUGAGCAUGGUACACAAUCAGGGCUUCUUUUUCUGUGAGAAAGUUCUUUAUGUUUCUAAUUGCGAAGAGUGCUGUUGAAAGUUUGUCAGACAAUUCGUUCACAUGCUGAUCUCAACCUAGGUUUCCGCUGAUUGAUAAUCCAAGCAGAGAUAUACUAUCUUUGUUUCAUCAUUUGGUGGUAAUUACGAGCUCCUUCAUUUUAUCAGCAUUUACACUCAUACUGUUGUUUAUGAACCAACCAAUAGCAUCAUCUAUGGAUUUUUUAGAUUUCGCCUGAAGUAUACUUUCCACUUUAUCUCUAUUUAGAAAGGAGACAUCAUCCGCAAAGAGCACUACGUCAUCCACCACAACAUUAUGCACCAAGUCAUCGAUGUAAAGGACAAAUAAAAUUGGUCCAAGCACCGAUCCCUGGGGAACUCCUUGGGUGACUCUGCAUUUGGAAGAUAUUUUUCCAUCAAGGUCUACUAUUUGGUAACGAUCGUGCAAGUAAGAUUUUAUCAGACCAAGAGCUGGCCCUCGGACCCCAACAUACUCCAACUUGGAUAAGAGUUUUUGGUGUUCCACGCAAUCAAAUGCCUUACUCAAAUCUAUGCAGGUUAACAUCACUUCAUCUGUGCUGUCUAAUGCGUCCAUAAUGAACUCUGUCAUCUGGAUUAUGGCCGUUAUCGUGGAUCUUCCCUUCCUGAAGCCAUGUUGCUGACCUGAAAGCUACAUGCUCUCCUCCAAGAACGAGAGCCAUCUUGUUUUGAUUAGGGACUUGAGAACCUUAGAAAUGGCUGGUAGUAUAGAUAUGGGCCUAUAAUUUUCAUUAGAUUUUUUCUCCCUUCUUAUGCACAGGUAAUACUCUUGACAGUUUCCAUUCAUCCGGGAAAUAUCCUUGCUCAAGACAAGCAUUCAUCAGAUGUGUGAGUGGGUCCACCAGAUAGUCAAUCGUCUCCUUGAGUAAUCUCACCGACAAGCCAUAAAUAUCUUUUGAGGAUUUGUUGUUAAACUCCGAAACCGUUCUCAUUACUUCAUCUUUCGUCGUUGGCAGCAGGAAACAGGAUUUCAUACUAUUCACCUUUUUGUUCUUCAAAAGGUUGUCACACCUUCCUGGAUCGGUUUUCUGUGUAUUUAGUCUCUCUGCAAUAGUGGCAAAGUAGCAGUUGAAUUUUUCCUCAGACUUCUAUUAUUUAUGACUUUCCAUAUAGCCCGACUCUUGUUUUCCGAUUGGUUUAGGAAUUCCAUAUCCCUGUUCUUGAUGGUAUCCGUUAAGCCCGCCACUCACGAAGCGUUUUUUCGAGACUUUGAACGCCAAGCGUCCAAGAGAUUCCAGUCGGACAGUCAAGUUCAUUCUCUGAUUUACAGUCGUGCGGUCGUGUCCCGAUCUGCCCGAAUGUGAAAUUAUCCGAACGCUCGAACAUGGGAGCCUCGUGGGUGGCCGCCUUUACUAGUUGCUUCAGCUUCAAUUUCAUUUCUUUAUAGACUUUAAACGAAUCUUCAUCCCUUCUGACCUGAAAUAUCGUGUGGGUAGCAUCUACCUUAUUUUUCAGAUCCAUAAUUUCAGUAUUUUCCCAAAUUUUUUUGCUGCGAUCAUUCUUCUUUAUAAUUUUUGUUUCAGGGAAACACCGGUGGAAUAAAUUCAAAACAGUGUCGUGAAAACUCUUACACUGCCUACGAACACAGUUCCCAUUCAUAAAACCCCAAUCAACAUCUUUCAAUCCUUCUCGAAACAGGAGGGUUUUCCUUCGGAAUCUCCAACUUCUGUCCCUCAUGGUCCGAAAUGUGGUAAUCAAUUGUUUGCGCUACAUAACUCGCACUGUCCAUAUUAGUAAAUAUGUUGUCAAUGCAAUUCGCAGAUGUAAGCGUUACACGAGAUGGCUCGCUAAAUAUUAUAUGCAGACCAUAUGACAGUAGUA